ACUUCUAAAAUACUAAGUAUAUUUAAUUUCCAAUUAAAAAGAAUAAGAAGUA
This 52-nucleotide transfer RNA is filed under the name Pyemotes zhonghuajia. RNAcentral describes it as "tRNA-Gly". The record is from RNAcentral. Lineage: Eukaryota; Metazoa; Arthropoda; Arachnida; Trombidiformes; Pyemotidae.